GUUGAAGACGACGACGUUGAUAGGCCGGGUGUGUAAGCGCAGCGAUGCGUUGAGCUAACCGGUACUAAUGACCCGUGAGGCUUAACCUUACAACGCCAGAGGCGUUU
This 107-nucleotide ribosomal RNA is filed under the name Pantoea sp. ARC270. RNAcentral's name for it is "partial 23S ribosomal RNA". The stretch from base 1 to 89 matches the Rfam family "Bacterial large subunit ribosomal RNA", at positions 2837 to 2925 of the family's 2925-position model. The record is from RNAcentral. RNAcentral also lists the same sequence under 12 other names. Lineage: Bacteria; Pseudomonadati; Pseudomonadota; Gammaproteobacteria; Enterobacterales; Erwiniaceae.